This 253-nucleotide ribosomal RNA is filed under the name uncultured bacterium. RNAcentral's name for it is "partial 16S ribosomal RNA". It matches the Rfam family "Bacterial small subunit ribosomal RNA", at positions 524 to 776 of the family's 1533-position model. The record is from RNAcentral.
UACGUAGGGUGCAAGCGUUAAUCGGAAUUACUGGGCGUAAAGCGUGCGCAGGCGGUUUUGUAAGUCUGACGUGAAACCCCCGGGCUCAACCUGGGAAUUGCGUUGGAGACUGCAAGGCUAGAAUCUGGCAGAGGGGGGUAGAAUUCCACGUGUAGCAGUGAAAUGCGUAGAGAUGUGGAGGAACACCGAUGGCGAAGGCAGCCCCCUGGGUCAAGAUUGACGCUCAUGCACGAAAGCGUGGGGAGCAAACAGG